RNAcentral lists this long non-coding RNA (231 nucleotides) under Actinidia chinensis (golden kiwifruit). Its description in RNAcentral is "long non-coding RNA (ACHI_LNC006444)". The record is from RNAcentral. Lineage: Eukaryota; Viridiplantae; Streptophyta; Magnoliopsida; Ericales; Actinidiaceae.
AUUGUUGCGAGAUCAACUGGAAGGAGGCGCAAGAUGAAUUUAAUUUGUACUGCUUAUGUAUGAGUUCUUCAAGGACACUGCUGAAUUUAUUCGCUUCCUAUGUUUUGAUCAGUAAUAUCUUGAUGAUCAAAUUAAAAUAUCUUGCCAAGAAUUGAGGUUGGUUUUCCCAUCUCUGUCAGAAUACAACUACUAGACCUCUUUUAUGUAUGUUCAUGUCCAAAUUCAUGUAUA